This is a long non-coding RNA of Oncorhynchus tshawytscha (Chinook salmon), 1056 nucleotides long. Lineage: Eukaryota; Metazoa; Chordata; Actinopteri; Salmoniformes; Salmonidae. The record is from Ensembl.
CCGCUGUUCCCCUGACCAAGGCAGUUAACCCGCUGUUCCCCUGACCAAGGCAGUUAACCCGCUGUUCCCCUGACCAAGGCAGUUAACCCGCUGUUCCUAUGGCCAUCAUUGUAAAUAAAAAUGGUGUUAACUGACUUGCCUAGUUAAAUAAAUACUGUGCAGGCCAAGUCACAGGAGUUAUUUUAUCAAAUUAAACUUUAUGGAAACACGUGUUUAGUGGGUGUAGUGAAAUGGGGGGGUCAGUAGCAGCAGGGAAGUGCGGUAUGCUUCCUAAUGGCCGCUGGCUUUCUGCUACUUUACGUCAACUAGUAUGAACACACCAUAACGCACUUCUGCAAUCCUUUUCAACUAAACUUUGUGUGGAAUUCACGUUUACAGUGUUCUGUUAUACUAUGCUCCAAGCUGUGUUGCUUCAGGUGGACAGUUGUCUUAUGUAGCAUUGAGACAUGCCUGUACAAUAAUGACCAUGCGGUCUUACGGCAAAAAAAAAUAAAAAAAUGCCACAAUUCAAACUGUUGAAUAGAUUGUACCACUGCAGUAACAAAGAAGACGUGUCUGUUGUGGGAUGAUGUAGUUGAAUUUACUGCCAUGUUAAAAAAAAAAAAAAAGGAAAGGUGAACCUUCAAUAGAACUAAAGCACUCAUCUUACACAGGACAGAGGAACAAUCCAACAGACAUCUUGUCAUGAAACCAUGUGGUCUCAUGAAGUUCGUUGCUCUGGCAACAUAGAACCCAGUGUCAAGACUAGAGAGGGUUAGAAGUUGUGCACCUGGACAGAUUCUGUUUCUGUGGUCUGCACUGCAUGGCAACUACAGCCAUGUCACAGAGUGAGACAUCAAAAAGGUCAAAGAGCAUUUAAAAAGAAGAAGAAAAAAAAAAAGGUGGCCAAAGUAUCAAUUAACAUAAAAACACGACAGAGGGAAGCAAUUGCCAUUGAAUGGAUGUGUCCUUGAAAAUGUAUGAUUUAAACAAGAGGGAAUCCAAGAUAAUCUAUUUAAACAAGAGGGAAUCCAAGAUAAUCUAUUUAAACAAGAGGGAAUCCAAGAUAAUCUAUUU